Molecule: ribosomal RNA, 230 nt
Filed under: uncultured bacterium
Lineage: Bacteria
Description: partial 16S ribosomal RNA
Rfam family: Bacterial small subunit ribosomal RNA
Source: RNAcentral
CGAACGUGGGUAACCUGCCCAUCAGAGGGGGAUAACAUUCGGAAACGGAGUGCUAAAACCGCAUAGGUCUUCGAACCGCAUGGUUUGAAGAGGAAAAGAGGCGCAAGCUUCUGCUGAUGGAUGGACCCGCGGUGCAUUAGCUAGUUGGUGAGGUAACGGCUCACCAAGGCCGUGAUGCAUAGCCGACCUGAGAGGGUGAUCGGCCACAUUGGGACUGAGACACGGCCCAA